CUUUAUGUAAAAAUUAAGGAAAUUUGUCCAAUUGAAGUUCCAGGAAAAUGAACGAUUUCAGUGUAUCACAUUUUAUGGAAUGCUAAGUAUAUCGAUAGAAAAUAGUUUUUAUUUUAAAAUUUUCGUGAAACGGAUUGAUGUUCGUAUUCGUGUCGUGUUUACAAUAAUCGGAUAAAGAAUUUUCCGUGUUUUAAUACAAUAUUGUGUGUUGUGAAAAUUAUAGAUACCCGGAACAUUCUUAACUACCAAGAUGGUCAUUUCCUCAUUUGUGAACUGUAUAUACCCGGAAAAUUCUCAACUACCAAGAUGGUCAUUUCCUCAUUUGUGAACUGGUGUUGGUGCGCGAUUCUACGCGAAAUUUUAACCCGUUAACGAAACGAAAGGUAAGUGUAGGACACGUUUCAUAAUGCGGUUUGCCAAAAAGUAGUUGAUUGUUGGAUAAAUAACAAAAAAAAUGAUUUUCCAUUCUUCAUAACAAAUAUUUCAAACGACAUAUUUUACGUUUCUACUUGGUACUGCUAGAUAAUUCAAUUCAUUUAAACGUACGAUGAAAUUUUCCAAUAUUUUAAAUCAAAUAAAUUUUUCUCCAUCCAUUAUUCCAAAAUAUAUGCUGAUAAAUUGAUAUUUUUCCCAAAAAUUGAAUGUAACACAAUUUCAAUAUGAUAUACGAGGAAUAUCCACUAAGAAAGUUCCAUUUGGUUAUAAAAGAACAUACGAGCAGGUCAAAAAACAUAUUUUUCAUGCUGUUAACCUAAUUUUCUAUGUAGUUUCGAAAAUUUUUCUUCCGGCUCGUUUCAACUUUUAGCGAGAGAUUUCAGGUAUAAGAAGAGAUGAAAGUCGGUAGGAGUGAGGUCCGAGCUAUACGGAGGAUGAUCAAACACACCCCAGCCAAAUUCUUGGAGCGGUUUUUUUGUCACGUCACAGUGGGAGAUGGGGCAUUAUCGUGAAAAAAAAAACAAAAACCAUUUGACAGUAAUCCUCGGAGUUUACCCUGUUUCUUAAUUUCCACGCAUGUGCCUAAAUCAAACGGCAAAACGUCGGAGCAAACGGUGGAAAUGAGUUGUCGAGGUGUCGAAAUUUGCUUAGGGGUAUCGUAAGAUACCAAAAUUUCAUCCCCUAUGACUAUUCGAAAUAUAGGUUAGAAAAGGAACUUAAAUUGUGGAUGUACCUCGUAUGAAGGAAAUACUAAAAUCAGUUAUUAAAACUUUUUAUUCAAAUUUUUCUGAAAUUUUCGGUCCGAAUUAUUGCAUCAAAUUUUGAUUGAAAUGAUUUUUUUUGUUAUUUAUUGAGUGAGCAGAACUUUGAUCAGAUGUUGUUGGUUUUUGUGUUUUUUGGAAUCCUAAGAAUAUUUUGUUGAGAUUAAUACAGUUACAGAUUUAAUUAUUGAAGAAAAAUAGAUUGAAUUUAUUUUUGAAUAACUUUUUUAACAUUCAGAAAGUUUUAACAAAUAUCCAAAUUUCGACUACUCCCUUACAUUCAAACAGAAGAUUGUUAAUAUUUAUGACUAAAACUAAUUUUUCUCAUUAUAUGAUACUGAUCAAAUAAAAUCUUGACGUUGUUAUUUUGGAUUGAUCAAUUCUUUUCAGCGUUUACUGUAACACAUUUAAGUCCAGUAAAUAUUUGAUGAAUAAUUAUGAUGAUAAUCAUAUGAUAGAAUUUCUCGAAUACACCUCAAAUUCACUUUGAUUCGAAAUAGUAGUACAUGGAUCCUUCUGAUCAAUAUAAAUGAUAAUUAGAUAAUUGAGUAACUUGAAGAUGCGAUUUCCAUUCAAAUGACUUUCCGAGUAAUCUGUUGAGAUUUUCCUGAUCUUUGAGAACAAAUCUGUUGGGUUAAUGAGAUGAUUGUGUGAUGAAUGUCAUAAAUGAGGUAGGCAACCGCCGCGAUAUGGAAAAGUGAUUCGUAAUUUUCGGUAUCGAUUUCGCUGUGUCGCGAAUCGGUUUUAAGUGAUGGAUAUCAUGGAAAAGGAAAAUGGAUAUGGAGGCUUUCCUAUGUGGACAAAGUUAUGUGUUUGUGCGCGAUUCGACGCGAAAUUUUAACCCGUUAACGAAACGAAAAAUAUAUAGUGUGCGAAUCGAUAAAGCGGUUUGCCAAAAGGAAGGUGAUUGUUGAAUAAAUAACAAUAAAACAUAUUUCUUCAAUUUUUGUAACAAAUAUGUAUUUUAAAUUACAAAUAUAUGUGUUUCUAAAAUGGAAAUGCUGCUGCACGAGGAAUAUAUGAAUACAUGUAAAAUUCUAUUUUCUAUUAUUGUUUUUCUGUGUCACGUUUCUUUCCAAAACUUAACCUGUCUGAAAAAAAAAUUUUUUAUGUAAUAAAUUUUUUACAAAUUAAAUUUACAAAUAUAAAAAAAAUUAUAGAUAUCUGGAGAAUAAUAUUCGUAUGAAUUUGUCUUUUUAUGUUUGUUUUUUUCAGUUAAGUAAAUUGAAAGUAUGUGUGUGAUAAUUAUUGUAUCUUGUAUGCGUGUGUAAAAAAUUCCGUUUUGCAAUCUUCAUAUCGAUGGCUACUUCAUUUGUUAUAAAUUUUCGUUUUUCUCUCCCAAACUGGACCUGAAAUUUAAAAAUAUAAAAUGUUGUAAACUUCGAAUAUGUGAAUUACUUUGAUAAUAAUUGAAUGAUAAAAUAAUUAUACCCUGUUUUGUUCUUAUGCAGAAAUUGAUAAAAUUGAAUUCUUCGAGAUGAAAAUUACAUUUUUUUAAUAAUAAUUCGAAAAAAAAAACAUAUUUUCUGGACAUUUUAUUUUAUAAUCGACUGUGAACAAUUUAUUCAAACGUUAAUUGUUUCUAAGUCAUAUCAACCCUUAAAAAAAGAAAACUGCUUCUGUUUCUUUUUUAAUUUUGAAUGUUUUCUGCUCAAGUUAAUUAAAUUAAAUGGAAAAUUUUUUCAAACGUAAAUUAUUUCUAAUAUAUAUCAAUCAUUUAAAAAAAACACUGAAUCUGUUUAUUUUUAAUAUUCUCUGAUCAAGUUAAUAGAAGAAAGUAUGUAGGUAAUAAUGAUAAAUACCUUUUACGGAAUGGAAAUUUUCCAAAGUCCAUCAAAUAGGAAGCAAACUUGUGUGAAAAAACAGCUAUUUCAUUUUUUAUAAAUUUUCGUCUUUCUUUCCCAAACUGGACCUGAAAUUUAAAAAUAUAAAAUAUUGUAAAUUUCGGAUCUGUGGAUUACUUUGAUAAUUGAUUGAUAAAAUUAUUAUACACUGUUUUGUUCUUAUGCAGAAAUUUAUAAAAUUAAAUUUUUCGAAACUAAAAUUCCA
Molecule: long non-coding RNA, 3245 nt
Organism: Diorhabda carinulata
Lineage: Eukaryota; Metazoa; Arthropoda; Insecta; Coleoptera; Chrysomelidae
Exons: 5
Source: RefSeq, a predicted model, not a curated record